GGGGAUUUGGCUCAGUGGUAGAGCACUUGCCAAGGAAGCGCAAGGUCAUUGGUUCAAUCCCCA
Molecule: transfer RNA, 63 nt
Filed under: Rattus norvegicus (Norway rat)
Lineage: Eukaryota; Metazoa; Chordata; Mammalia; Rodentia; Muridae
Rfam family: tRNA
About the family: Transfer RNA (tRNA) molecules are approximately 80 nucleotides in length.
Source: Rfam by way of RNAcentral